GAUCUAGGAGACUUGGUCCUUCASUUCGGCUGGCUGGAACACAGGGCUGCAUGGCKGRCGNCAGCUVGCGUCGUGAGAAGUCGGGUUAAGUCCCGCAACGAGCGCAACCCUCAUCUUUAGUUGCCAUCGGGUAAGGCCGGGCACUCUAAAGAAACCGCCGGCGAUAAGCCGGAGGAAGGCGGGGAUGACGUCAAGCCCUCAUGGCCCUUACAGGUUGGGCUACACACGUACUACAAUGGUGGUGACAGAGGGUUGCGAAGUCGSAGACGGAGCCAAUCCCCAAAAGCCAUCUCAGCUCAGAUUGCACCCUGCAACUCGGGUGCAUGAAGUCUSAAUCGCUASUAAUCGCAGAUCAGCACGCUGCGGCGAAUACGUUCCCGGGCCUUGUACACACCGACCGUCACGCCAUGGGAGUUGGCUAUACCCGAAGCCGGUGAGCGAACCNAAGGACGCA
RNAcentral lists this ribosomal RNA (454 nucleotides) under uncultured peat bog bacterium BS2. RNAcentral's name for it is "bacterial SSU rRNA". It matches the Rfam family "Bacterial small subunit ribosomal RNA", at positions 996 to 1451 of the family's 1533-position model. Lineage: Bacteria; Pseudomonadati; Pseudomonadota; Alphaproteobacteria; Rhodospirillales; Rhodospirillaceae. The record is from RNAcentral.